Lagenorhynchus albirostris (white-beaked dolphin) is the source of this 529-nucleotide long non-coding RNA. RefSeq lists it as uncharacterized. The transcript has 5 exons. NCBI's taxonomy places the organism in Eukaryota, Metazoa, Chordata, Mammalia, Artiodactyla, Delphinidae. The record is from RefSeq and is a predicted model, not a curated record.
UCACUUUUCCGCAACCCCAGGCUUCGGCGCUUAGACUGGAAAGGGCGAGCCCUGAAGCGGUGAAAGGAACGGGUCUCCUAGCAUCUUCCAGAACUUACCACAGAGAAUUCCCAUCUUCAUUCCUUGGAGACUUGAGGUUUAACAGAAUCAGAGAAAUUCCCAGGAACACCUUCAAGAAACUCAAGAAUUUGAACACUCUGUACCUCUACAAGGAUGGAAUUCGUAUACGAGAUAAGCAGACAUUAAAGGACUCAUCCUUGGAACAGCUGUACCACCCCUGGGCUGGCGGCCAUCGCAGUCAGGUGUGGCCUUGUUGCUAAGUGACGAUAUUGAAGCGACAUUAUUCCAUGAGAUUUCAGUCUAGUUUCCUGAGGUCGUUUGGACUGAGCUUCAUCUUCUCUCCUCCUUUUUACGGCCCGUUGGGCUGACAGGAUGACGGAGUCCCCCAGGGACCCCUGUUGGAACAUGAGGUAAGUUGAGGAUGGUGUUUGUGCUGAGGUUGGUAGAACAGAGGUUUGGAGACUGCUUC